This 500-nucleotide ribosomal RNA is filed under the name uncultured bacterium. Its description in RNAcentral is "partial 16S ribosomal RNA". It matches the Rfam family "Bacterial small subunit ribosomal RNA", at positions 30 to 523 of the family's 1533-position model. The record is from RNAcentral.
AUUGAACGCUGGCGGCAGGCCUAACACAUGCAAGUCGAGCGGAUGACGGGAGCUUGCUCCUGGAUUCAGCGGCGGACGGGUGAGUAACGCCCAGGCAUCUGCCUGGUAGUGGGGGACAACGUUUCGAAAGGAACGCUAAUACCGCAUACGUCCUACGGGAGAAAGCAGGGGACCUUCGGGCCUUGCGCUCUCAGAUGAGCCUAGGUCGGAUUAGCUAGUUGGUGAGGUAAUGGCUCACCAAGGCGGCGAUCCGUAACUGGUCUGAGAGGAUGAUCAGUCACACUGGAACUGAGACACGGUCCAGACUCCUACGGGAGGCAGCAGUGGGGAAUAUUGGACAAUGGGCGAAAGCCUGAUCCAGCCAUGCCGCGUGUGUGAAGAAGGUCUUCGGAUUGUAAAGCACUUUAAGUUGGGAGGAAGGGUUGUAGAUUAAUACUCUGCAAUUUUGGCGUUACCGACAGAAUAAGCACCGGCUAACUCUGUGCCAGCCGCCGCGGUAA